AGUUUUUUUUUUUCUGUAGGACUCAAUUCAGUUCUUUCUAACGGUGGGACGGGAUGGAAAGUAUGCAACAGCAGGUGGAAAAGAUGCCUACAUGGACAAAGACGUCAGGCACAUCAGGAAGGCUAACAGCCAGGUUUACAUUGCCAGGAGGACUGGCAUGAGGCAGCAGCGUGGGAAAAAGUGCCAACAAGAGCAGCCAGAUACGCAGGUGAGCGUCUUAUGUUGUGUUUAUCUUUAAACACACAUAAUGCCAGUGUCAUUCAGUGACGAUAAAAAGCAAUCCGCCGAGAGCCUUUUCAGGAAUUGCACCGGAUGAUUUGGCAACUGCACAAUGCCGGGAACACCGAACAGCAGCGGGAGGUAAAGCAGGUUCAACCUUUUUACACGUUUUCAUAGUUCGCCAGAGUUUCCAGGGUUGGCAGUGCGUGGCGUCCAUUUUCAGAGAUAAAAUAACAAAAGUUGAUUUUGAACCACAGGUCGGGUUUUAAAAAUGGAACCUACAAAAAAAAAAAAAACGAAGACUGCAGGGAAGGAUGGAAGGACAAGUGAGGACAGGACCCGUGUCAGGAAAGGAACUAAGAAAUAAAUCAGGCGGGAAGAGAAUGUAGGAUACAAGGAGAAAAACAAAAGGAAGAAAAAAAGGACAUAAAGGAAGCGUAAGAUGAAGGUGGGAAAGGAAGGGCAAGCGGAAGAGGAAGUGAGCUAGGACACAAGGAUAAAAGGAAGUAAGGGCACGAGCAAGGUGAGAAAGGAAGAGAGUAAUGAAGGGGUAGACAAGACAGCAAAGAAGCAAGGAACAAAAGAAGGAUAAAAGGGAGGA
Molecule: long non-coding RNA, 820 nt
Organism: Fundulus heteroclitus (mummichog)
Lineage: Eukaryota; Metazoa; Chordata; Actinopteri; Cyprinodontiformes; Fundulidae
Exons: 2
Source: RefSeq, a predicted model, not a curated record